AAAGAGUCAUCCAAAAAAAGCUUCUAACUUUUUAUAAAAAGCAUUACCAUGUUUAU
This 56-nucleotide transfer RNA is filed under the name Cautires sp. UPOL 000342. RNAcentral describes it as "partial tRNA-Ser". Lineage: Eukaryota; Metazoa; Arthropoda; Insecta; Coleoptera; Lycidae. The record is from RNAcentral.